GUGGGGAAUCUUCCGCAAUGGGCGAAAGCCUGACGGAGCAACGCCGCGUGAGUGAAGAAGGGUUUCGGCUCGUAAAGCUCUGUUGUCGGGGACGAAUGUGCAAGAUGCGAACAGUUUCUUGCAAUGACGGUACCUGACGAGGAAGCCACGGCUAACUACGUGCCAGCAGCCGCGGUAAUACGUAGGUGGCGAGCGUUGUCCGGAAUUAUUGGGCGUAAAGGGAGCGCAGGCGGGAAGGCAAGUCAGUCUUAAAAGUGCGGGGCUCAACCCCGUGAUGGGAUUGAAACUGUCUUUCUUGAGUGCAGGAGAGGAAAGCGGAAUUCCUAGUGUAGCGGUGAAAUGCGUAGAUAUUAGGAGGAACACCAGUGGCGAAGGCGGCUUUCUGGACUGUAACUGACGCUGAGGCUCGAAAGCGUGGGGAGCGAACAGG
This 430-nucleotide ribosomal RNA is filed under the name uncultured rumen bacterium. RNAcentral's name for it is "bacterial SSU rRNA". It matches the Rfam family "Bacterial small subunit ribosomal RNA", at positions 354 to 776 of the family's 1533-position model. The record is from RNAcentral.